RNAcentral lists this ribosomal RNA (493 nucleotides) under uncultured bacterium. RNAcentral's name for it is "partial 16S ribosomal RNA". It matches the Rfam family "Bacterial small subunit ribosomal RNA", at positions 28 to 507 of the family's 1533-position model. The record is from RNAcentral.
GACGAACGCUGGCGGCGUGCUUAACACAUGCAAGUCGAACGGUGAAGCGCCUUCCUUUUUGGUGGGUGUGGAUGAGUGGCGAACGGGUGAGUAACACGUGAGUAACCUGCCUCCUUCUUCUGGAUAACCGCAUGAAAGUGUGGCUAGUACGGGAUAUUCUGGGUCUGUCGCAUGAUGGGUCUGGGAAAGAUAUUGUUUCGGUGGGGGAUGGGCUCGCGGCCUAUCAGCUUGUUGGUGGGGUGAUGGCCUACCAAGGCGGUGACGGGUAGCCGGCCUGAGAGGUUGGACGGCCACACUGGGACUGAGACACGGCCCAGACUCCUACGGGAGGCAGCAGUGGGGAAUAUUGCACAAUGGGCGCAAGCCUGAUGCAGCGAGGCCGCGUGAGGGAUGGAGGCCUUCGGGUUGUGACCCUCUUUCGCCAGUGAAGCAGGCCUGCUCGUUUGUGGGUGGGUUGACGGUAGCUGGAUAAGAAGCGCCGGCUAACUACGUG